UACGAAGGGGGCUAGCGUUGCUCGGAAUCACUGGGCGUAAAGGGUGCGUAGGCGGGUCUUUAAGUCAGGGGUGAAAUCCUGGAGCUCAACCCGGGAACUGCGUCCGGGACUGGAAGGCUUGAAUCCGGGAGAGGGAUGUGGAAUUCCAGGUGUAGCGGUGAAAUGCGUAGAUAUCUGGAGGAACAUCGGUGGCGAAGGCGGCAUCCUGGACCGGUAUUGACGCUGAGGCGCGAAAGCCAGGGGAGCAAACGGG
RNAcentral lists this ribosomal RNA (253 nucleotides) under uncultured bacterium. RNAcentral's name for it is "partial 16S ribosomal RNA". It matches the Rfam family "Bacterial small subunit ribosomal RNA", at positions 524 to 776 of the family's 1533-position model. The record is from RNAcentral.